This 362-nucleotide long non-coding RNA is filed under the name Carica papaya (papaya). Its description in RNAcentral is "long non-coding RNA (CPAP_LNC000766)". Lineage: Eukaryota; Viridiplantae; Streptophyta; Magnoliopsida; Brassicales; Caricaceae. The record is from RNAcentral.
GACCCGUUCCUUACACAAUGAUACUUAGAGAAACACCAAACCAAUAAAUUAUCACUUAAUAAUUACUUGUGAAAUACAGGUACGGAGAGAUGAGGAGAGGAAGACCCCCACUAAACCGAACAGCCCGAGAUGGUUCACUUAGGGAAAAUGUUGACCAGAUAUUUGAGAUGCUAGAGAGACUCAUUGCUGCCCAACAGGGUUGAGAGGAGAGGAGGGAGCUACCUGACCCUCCUCCGUUGCCACAGGUUGAACCACUAUUGUAGCAAGAGGAUCCCGAGCCAUCCCGGUAUGACCCUGCUCCUCCACAGUACCACCCGGCAUCACUACAGUAUGAUCCAGUGCCUCAGCCAUAGUACCACUCG